GGGCCCGCACAAGCGGUGGAGCAUGUGGUUCAAUUCGACGCAACGCGAAGAACCUUACCUGGGCUCGAAGCGCAGUGGACCGGGGUAGAAAUAUCCCUUUCCGCAAGGACUGCUGCGGAGGUGCUGCAUGGCUGUCGUCAGCUCGUGUCGUGAGAUGUUGGGUUAAGUCCCGCAACGAGCGCAACCCUUAUUGCCAGUUGCCAGCGGGUUAUGCCGGGCACUCUGGCGAAACUGCCCCGGAUAACGGGGAGGAAGGUGGGGAUGACGUCAAGUCCUCAUGGCCUUUAUGUCCAGGGCUACACACGUGCUACAAUGGCCGGUACAAACCGUCGCAAACCCGCGAGGGGGAGCUAAUCGGAAAAAGCCGGCCUCAGUUCGGAUUGGAGUCUGCAACUCGACUCCAUGAAGCUGGAAUCGCUAGUAAUCGCGGAUCAGCACGCCGCGGUGAAUACGUUCCCGGGCCUU
Molecule: ribosomal RNA, 465 nt
Filed under: uncultured bacterium
Lineage: Bacteria
Description: bacterial SSU rRNA
Rfam family: Bacterial small subunit ribosomal RNA
Source: RNAcentral